CUACGGGUCGCUCCAGUGGGGAAUCUUAGACAAUGGGGGAAACCCUGAUCUAGCCAUGUCGCGUGAGCGACGACGGCCCUAGGGUUGUAAAGCUCUUUCAGCAGGGAAGAUAAUGACGGUACCUGCAGAAGAAGUCCCGGCUAACUCCGUGCCAGCAGCCGCGGUAAUACGGAGGGGACUAGCGUUGUUCGGAAUUACUGGGCGUAAAGCGCGCGUAGGCGGAUUGUUAAGUCGGGGGUGAAAUCCCGGGGCUCAACCCCGGAACUACCCUCGAUACUGGCAGUCUUGAGUUCGAGAGAGGUGAGUGGAAUUCCGAGUGUAGAGGUGAAAUUCGUAGAUAUUCGGAGGAACACCAGUGGCGAAGGCGGCUCACUGGCUCGAUACUGACGCUGAGGUGCGAAAGCGUGGGGAGCAAACAGGAUUAGAUACCCGCGUAGUC
RNAcentral lists this ribosomal RNA (439 nucleotides) under uncultured bacterium. RNAcentral describes it as "partial 16S ribosomal RNA". It matches the Rfam family "Bacterial small subunit ribosomal RNA", at positions 339 to 795 of the family's 1533-position model. The record is from RNAcentral.